AGAGUUUGAUCCUGGCUCAGGAUUAACGCUGGCGGCAUGCCUAAGACAUGCAAGUCGAACGGAACACCCCACUGAAACUUGAAUGAAGUUAGAGAGCUUGCUCGAAGAUGGAAUGACGGUGGACGUGGAUUCUGUGUUCAGUGGCGAACGGGUGAGUAACACGUGGGUUACCUGCCUCUAAGUUGGGGACAACAAUUGGAAACGACUGCUAAUACCGAAUGUGAUAGUAAUAUUAAAGGAGCCUUUAAAGCUUCGCUUAGAGAUGGGCCUGCGGCGUAUUAGCUAGUUGGUGGGGUAACGGCCUACCAAGGCGACGAUGCGUAGCCGGACUGAGAGGUUGAUCGGCCACACUGGGACUGAGACACGGCCCAGACUCCUACGGGAGACAGCAGUUAGGAAUAUUCGGCAAUGGGGGAAACCCUGACCGAGCAAUGCCGCGUGUGAGAUGAAGGUCCUCUGGAUUGUAAAUCACUUUUAUUUGGGAAGAAUUGUAAGUAGAGGAAAUGAUACUUACUUGACGGUACCUUUUGAAUAAGCCCCGGCUAACUACGUGCCAGCAGCCGCGGUAAUACGUAGGGGGCGAGCGUUAUCCGGAUUUAUUGGGCGUAAAGCGUGCGUAGACGGUUUAUUAAGUCCAGAAUUAAAGCCCGAGGCUUAACCUCGGUUCGUUCUGGAUACUGGUAGACUAGAGUAUGGUAGAGGCAAAUGGAAUUCCUAGUGUAGCGGUGGAAUGCGUAGAUAUUAGGAGGAACACCAGUGGCGAAGGCGGUUUGCUGGGCCAUUACUGACGUUGAGGUACGAAAGCGUGGGUAGCAAAUAGGAUUAGAUACCCUAGUAGUCCACGCUGUAAAC
RNAcentral lists this ribosomal RNA (852 nucleotides) under human gut metagenome. RNAcentral describes it as "bacterial SSU rRNA". It matches the Rfam family "Bacterial small subunit ribosomal RNA", at positions 8 to 807 of the family's 1533-position model. The record is from RNAcentral.